Long non-coding RNA from Cuculus canorus (common cuckoo), 6310 nucleotides. RefSeq lists it as uncharacterized. The transcript is spliced from 5 exons. The record is from RefSeq and is a predicted model, not a curated record. NCBI's taxonomy places the organism in Eukaryota, Metazoa, Chordata, Aves, Cuculiformes, Cuculidae.
CUGAUUAAACCCAAGUGCUUCUGUUUGACAGAACGGCAGCAUGGGUUGUCUGGGGAGUGAGACUUGUGGCAGAACUUCUCUUACUUUGCUUAGUAAGUGCCCACAAGGAGAGGAAGGGUGCAGGUAUGGAUCCUGCAAAUUUUCUUUUACUCAACAAAUCGCGUGCUUUGGCCCAUUACAGUGACAGAAAGCGUCAAGAGUCUGCUGAUUACAUUGAAAUUCCCAUUAGCCUGACAGCAAGAAAACUAUGCUUUCAGAAAGCCAUCAGGGUAAUGGGUGAGCUGCCUCUUCAUGUUCCCUCAUUUCCCUUAGUCUUCCAUUACGCUGCUGGGGGGAGACACACGACACGCAAACAGAAUCCAGCCCAAUCUCUCUGUAAAUGUGUGCACAGCCAGUUCCGGCACACAUGACUACUAGAGACAAGGAAGGAAGAACUUUCUUACAUCAGGAAAGACUGUUUAUCGUCUCUGAAGUUUUACCAGCCAGCUGAAGGGUCUUCUCUCAGUUUUGACAGCAGUUUUCUCUCCAGCUCCAGUCAUAUUUUGACACAGAAGAGAAGAAGUGAUCAGAGUUCAAACUGAAAAGCAGUACUUGACUCCGGGGGAAUGGAAGCAGAAGACACAAGUGAUUUUGAAGAACUUUAUUUAACCCUUCUUUUGUACUAUUUCAAUCCUAGUACACAACUGCUUUUCAGGAUUGGGGAGAUUCAAAACGAGUUUAAAAUACAAGGCAAGAUUGCUUUAUUUGCAAUUUUAUAACGAGGAAGAAUGUGGCAAGUCUACAGACCAUAUUAGGUGAUAAGGUUAUGGAUACAAAUAUUAGUAGUAUCACCUCUUUUAUAAACAAACAAGAACACAACCAAUGUGGUUUUUUGUGUUUUCUUAUGGUUGUAUUUUGCAUUUCUCAUCAUUUGAAGAAUGAAAUAGUUUCAUUCUAUUUCAUACACUCCUGAGACUCAGUCCUGAAAGGUGUUCAACAAUCUAGUCACAAGCCAGCAAAGCUCUUACCACCUAAUUAUCUUCAAAACUGACAAUUUGGCAGUUAAUUCCAAGCUAUUAACUUUAGAGCACCUUACUACUGUUUGUAGGGUUAGUUUAGUGCUUUAUGGAUUCUGGGUCAAAGCUCUCAGCACUUAAAGGACAAAGCCUCUCCACCCAGUGUGGUUUUCAGCUCUUUAUAUGCUACAACUGCUCAGUCAGGUGGAUUUUUCCAUCUCCCAGAGAUUUCACACUUAAAAACUGUUCUUAGGAAGAGAUCAGAGAAAGAGACUUGCAUACGUCCUACAUUGUUGGCCUAGGAUAGAGGAUUUGAUAGUCUAAUUCUCUGCUUUUCACUCAAGCAUAAACUUUGACUUUGAACUUUGAGACAAGAGAGUGGGGCGAAAGCUAAAAACAGGUGGGGAAAGAAGUAUUUUACAGUUUAGACAGACCAAGAUACAGAGACACCAACAGGGAUGGCAUCCUGGUCAAAACAAGCGUGUGUGUCGCUUCAAGUUUGGUUCACAAAUAAAGAGCAAAACCAAAAGUCAAGCACAUUUCUUCAGGAAACCGCCACUCAUUUCUGCCUCCAAAUGCUUUUUGUAAGUAAUUGCUGUGGAAAACAGCUGAAGUGGGCGUUUUCUAUUAUAUAAAAUUGUCUUAAAGACGAGUAUGCUAGAUUGAUUUUAUCUAUCAAGUUAUAAUUUUGCUUACAGAUGCAAUGCUAUCAUCUCUCUGCUCAUCAGAAGGCAAAGGAAACGAAGUGCUACAGGAUUGUUUGAAAUGAGCAAAACAGAGCUAGAAAACUACCCAUCACAAGAAGAGAAGAGAUGUUAUAUAGAGAUACUGUUGGAAUACAGAUGUGCCUGAGCUCCUACCAGAAAGGCAAACAGCCUAUGAAGACAAACAUGACAACCAAAAAGAACUAUGGGAGAAGGAAGUUAGCUUGGACAAACUCUCUAACAAAAGAUUACAGGAUUAAAUCAGGGAGACUGCAUGUACAGAUAAGCAAGUAUUUUAUUACCUUUUCAACAGUCUAAGGAUAUUUGCAUCAUUACUACCAGGCAAAUAUUUAGUUGUUAUUUGGUUGGGUUUGCGUUGGUUGGUUAUUUUGCCAACGUGGUGCCAUAAGCUUCAGUUGAAUGUUGAGUAGGAAUGGAACAGGAAUCUGUUUUGUGCAUUCAAGCUUGGUGUUUUACCAAGACUUGUGCCUUUCUCUUGCCCUUGGUGGUUUGUUGCUGUGUAAUUGUUUUUUACUUUGUUGUCUAAAUAGCUCAGUAUUUUUAGGUGUUCUAACCUCUGCUGGGCCUAGAGCAAAGACAAGGGGUAGGAACUACUGUGAAGAUACAUCUGUUUUUUGAAUUCACAGGUGAACAUAUUUAUUGAGUCAAAGAUGCCAUUGCUUGUAUUAAAAUCAGACUAUGGUUAUGUUCAGAGUUGAAAACCCAGCAAUGCUAAUUUUGCAUUCCAAACUUCCCAUGAUCUUUUGCUCUUUAUACUAGAUGUGAAACACAUGGAUACGGGGUAUUGCACUUUUUCUUAGAGAACUGUACAUCUCUUAACUCUUCUGGGCUUAUCAGUUGUAGCCAUCACUAAGUAAUUCACGCAGCUGUGUUGAGAUCUAUAAAAAGCUAAAAUGACAUUUAGGUAGGCUGGACAGUAAAGAUCCAUACAGCUUGGAUCCAGGCUCAGGUUUCAAGAGCCAGCCAGAUACUGUCAUUAAGUAAACAAGAACCACAGUGUUACAAAGUGUGCAGGAUCAUGUUGACGGAAGAUCUCUGUCAUGACAAAAGAAAUUGUCUUUUCAGUCUUCAAGUCACUGGCCUCUUUCCAUUUUGUGUACACUGCCUAAAAAGAGAUCCAAGUGUCUCUUAUACUGCAUCCUGUUAAAAAAACAGCCCACAGGACCAGAGCACCAAGGUGAAAGACACAAGCAUUAGAAAUGUCAGUUGUGUAAUAAAACUUCAAACAUAGUUAUUAGCUGAAUACCUGAUAUAAAAAAGCUAUGAGUGGCGUAGCAGACAGAGUAGCUGCCAUAAAGCAAUCCUGUUCCAUGGUUUCCCAUGUGUGUGAAAUGCACAUACAUGGAAUUUCUUCUCAGUAACAGGUAUCUUCUGAUUUUUUUUGCCUAUGAGAAUUGUUCUGAAAAACUAAAAACAUGGGACACGCAUGUACAACAGUGCUUGGAGGCAUCAGUCUCUAACUAAAGGGCACAGCACUGAGAGUGGGUAAUCUUUCACUUCUCCACAUUUGUGCCACUACGAUGUGACCAUGGUCAAGUCAUUUCACCUUUCCAAGACAUCCUUUUCCUUUGGCCUGUUUUUUUUUUUUUUUCUAUGAGGGUCAUAAAUUUUGCACCAGAAUUUGUUUCUGUGUUGUGCUUGAACGUUCAUAGCCAGUCACUCAUACUAUCAAAAUAUUGUACUAUUUCUGAAACAAAGCGGGAGCCUCAGAACUUAUCAAUAAACUCAAUUUUCUAAGAAAAUUCUCACAUUAGCCUUGCAAUACAUGAGGAAUUAUGGUGUCUUCUGUGUAUUACAAUUUCUGUUGAGUUCUCACAUUUGCUUAAAUUGGGCAAGGAACAUAACUAGGGCUUUGGUAAACAGGAUGAUCCUGUAUAGGCCUAUACAUCUGCAUCUGGAAAAAUAAUAAACGUUCUUGGUCUAAAAGAGGUUUUCAUAACCAGCAGGCACAAAACAUGAAGUUGGUCUGAACAGGUAUUGGCUUUCUCAGAAUGGCAUCCAAAGGGAUGGAAGGCCACGGUACGGUGUCUUGGAUGGUGCCUUUCUAGAAAGAGUUCACAGCCAGGAACGCAACACACGAGUGAAGCUGUAGUUUGAGCUGCAAUCUGGAUGCAGACGCUAUUGCUUUAAUCUUGUCAACCACGUGUGGGAAAUUAUCUCCAGCUACAAAUGCCUGGCAUCUUUUCCAAUGACAAUCCACCUCCAGAUUUUCCUGUGUACAGGGUAAUGGGAUGCUGAAUUGCAAUGCUUUAAAUUUCACACUUCUUUACGGGCUCCUAUCUGUGACCUUUGGUUUGUAUAACACAUAACAGAGUGUUGUAACAGAUAGGCAGGUUGUAGUUCAAACCGUGUGCCUGCCAGGGGGAAAAGCAGGGCAUAUCCCAUGGUGGUUUCAUUAACAGAGAUUGUUUGCUCUUUUUCUUAUCAAACACCUGUAGAAAAACCAACCAACACAAGGCCCCGUUGCUGCUUCCUCCACAGGUGAGCCUGAUCCUGCGGGACGCUGCAGCUGCGCACCGAGGCUGCCCCAGGGCUGCUGCCGAGGCUCCUUCUCCUCUAGGUGGCCCCGGGACCCUGCCUGGGACACAUCAGCGCUUCUGGACCCUGGAAGGGCUGCUGUCUGCCUCCAGAAUCUCCUGGUUCCAGUGUCAGCUGCCAAAAGCUAUUGUUCUGCUUAUAACAGUCCAUUAAACCUCCUCAGUGCUUGAAUAGGCACCGGGCAGUCUCACCUGAGAGGGUCUUUCAUGAGCACAAGGGGAAGCCCUUACAAAAGACUGUUGGAAAUGUUGUCUCAGCCAAUGUUGAAGGAAUUGGCUCCAUGCACAUCACAGCAGUUUUGGUGUAUGCACUCUGCUUGUUCAGGUAAUUUUCAGUCUGUAUGAUCACCAGCUUGAAGAGCACUGGCAGAAGAGGUAUACCAAAUGCUACCAUCCCGUAUAAGUGUUCAGUGAGCAUUCAUUGUACAGCCCCUCAGAAACUAUUGUGGUGAGGAAACCGGGUACAACACUGACAAGUGCCAUAAGGGAUUAUUGAGAGAAAAUAUAUGAGUUCUGGAGAGGACAUAAAUGGGACAGUGGGAAACAUGUUGUCUUAUUUUUACAUGUGGAUUCUGACAAUGUUGUUACUCAGCUUCAAAUAUGUGGUUGUAAAUAAGCACAGAAGUAUAGCAGAGACCAUAUGCUGUCUUCAGUUUAUAAUAUGGAUUAGGAAUGUGAAUUGACACACUUGCAAGGAGCUCAAGGUGCUUUGUCUCCUGUCUGCUAUGCUUUCUAAGGACUAGUGCUAGUCUCAUUUUUGGCAAUAUUCUUUAAAUAAUCCUGAGAAAACCAGCCAGAUUGCACGCAGAGGAACGUACUACUUGCUGUGUGCACAAGGGCAAUUCACAACAAGGACAGGCUGAAAAAUAGUUCAGAAGGAUUUAGUACAUUACAGACGACCUUGUUCAUAGCAAUUCCAGUCUUGGAGUCAAAAAAGACAAUAAAUCGUUUGCUAUCCCAGUAGCAACUUCCACUAGUAGAGUAUUUGUAACCAUAUGUAUUACUCUGCCUGUUUAGGUUCAUAAGAUGUUUAUAACUGAGGUGCACUCCUUUUUAUAAUUAUGCUUUUCUACAUUAAGGAUGACCUCUCUCUGAGCCUGGCUGUAAGCUUUGGUGACUUCAAAGUGCUGCCCUAGCUCAGCAGAAAAUUCUGAUGGCAAGGGAUUGCUGAAAGGCUUCCUCCUGAUUCUUUUCUCACUAGGGGUGUCCUGUGGCUUAACAUCCGACAAGCAGGUUGAUCAAAGGUAUCCAGAGAGAAACAACAUGACUGGCUCAACCAAGGGGUGGGAGAAUGAAGGUUGAAAGAUCUCUUUUAUCUUGAGCACACUGUAAAAUAUGUUAAUAAUUUAGAACAUCGAAGGACAAAAAGAUAGCACUUGAAAGGAAGGUGAGAGAAUGGCAGAAGUUUAUAAGGGUUAUUUGCAGAGCAGUGAAAUCAAACAAAUCUUUCAUUUGACUCUAAGCAUAAGAAAGAGGUGUGAACAAAUUCUUAAUUAGAUUGAUGCCCAAGGCAAAGUGCUUUAUGCUGAUGCUAGGCCCUGGUCCUUUUGUGUUUGGUUUUCUGUUGGUUUUGGUUUAGUUGUUGGUUAUUUUUUUUUAAAUAAAAAGUAAAAUAAGGAAUUAUCCUACAAUCUUGAGGCCAGGUCCCCUGUUUUGUUGUUUGCUGAUGUAAAUAGCCCUAAAGUCUGCAAGAUUUGCCUGGAAGUGUAGCCCAGCUAGUGGGGGAAUCUCUGUCAGCACCACAGUUCUUACCUUGCCUUUCUCCCAGCUGUUCUGAACAGAAGCAGCAAGGCACAAGGCAUCCAGGUCUGCAUUGGUUUUAAAGUGGAGCAACCACCCUUGCGUGCUGCUUUUCUACACCAUUGAGUAAGGGAUUUUGGAAACUCUUAGUGUGCCACUGAUAUAGCCAGAGAAUGUUCCUCAGAUGAUCUGUAGAAGCCACAUAGCCCUCUUAUAGAACCCCAUGUUUUGGGACAUCCCUGUUAUUCUGGUGUUCUAGGGUCCUCACCCUGGUAACGCUCUAGUAAUAAUAUAUACGGUACCCUGAAUUUGU